CAGGGCGCAGGCGCACAGCCGCGUUGAGUACUACAGCUCCCGGCAGGCUCCACGCCGCCCGCCGCUUUUAGAGCCCACUAGGAUGCUGACGUGGGGGAUGGCUGGGACUCUUCUAGUCUUCCACCUAGUUUCAAGCUGCAUUGGAAGAGCUCCUAUUUCCGGUCUUAUAGCUUUAUGGUCCUAGGGGAUUGGGUGGGACGAGCCCCGAGUAGUGAGUCAAGUAAGAGCUACUUCCCAACAGCUUUAGAUUAAUUGAUGCAGGUGGGGGAAAAACUUUGUUUAAAACAGCCCCUACCCACUCAGUGAUUCCCUCGGGGAGGAGGUGGUUCUUGAGAAGGCAUUUUUUAAAACUCAGAUUUCAGGGUCCCUAACGACACCCUGGAGAGCAAAAGAGCUUAGAGCCAUUUUAAUAAUAAAAAAAAAAAAUUUGGGGGGGGGGAUUCUGACUGAUCUGUGUUGUCUGUGUGCCACAGUGACCUUGAAUAUACAUCUUAGUUUUUUUUUUCCUCUUGUAAGCUUAGAGCUUCCAUCUAGGGAACCCUCCUAUUCCUCUCCACCUUCAACAGCCCCCAGUGGUCUCUGAAGUUUGAAGAUUAGCCUUCUGGCAUUAUUUCAAGUCUUCCAAUUGGUUCCCUGCUUUUCCUGCCCUUGAAAGCAAACUUUCCCUUCUCCUUUGUCAGUGAGUUGUAGUGAGACUUGGUCCAAGGGCCACUAAAUACAAUAGUGCUGAUUGGGAAAAAAUGCUCAUUUUUGGUCCGAGGCUGGGGCUAUUGGUCUGUGUGUGCCAGAAUUUUAGCCCUAGGACUUUGUUUCUGCCUGAGAACCUGUAUCUAGACCUGAGUGUGUCCAAGAUAGCAAGGAAAAAAGCUGCUUGUUCUUGUUCCUCCUUGAUGAUCCGGUGGAAGCAAGACAGACAUGGGAGGAGCGGUGUUGUUGGCAGGCACUGAAGACAGCUUCAUCCAAGCCAAAGUUGUUCUCAUUAGCUGAGGCCUGGAGCCCCUGACUCUCAAGUCCUGCAAAGCCACUGUUACUCUUACCAGGGCCCUAGUCAUCUUUGAAGGAAGAGUAGCUCAUCUCAACCAAGGUGUUAUGGGAGCCUGAUGAUUCUUUGGGUCUGAGAGUCAAAUGAAAUUGCACAAAGGCAGGACCUAUCCCCAGGGAACCCAUCUCCAUCCUAGAGGCUGCCCACCUAUGCUUUUGAGAAUUCGAAGGAACUACAAUAAUAAUAAUUUUUUAAAAAGUGUGAUUUGUUUAGAGAGAUCUUGGAAGCCUUGGAGAAUGUGUUGAGGGAAGAUUUCUCUGCUUCAAAGUUGGCCCCAAGAUUCCAGGUCAGAGUCCAGGAGGGGACCUGACUGCAAAAGCUGACUCAAGGACCCUGGAACCAGAAGAUCCUCUUGUGUCGGCCUCCUAAAUUGUAGGAUUACAGAUUCUCCGGAUUACUCUAAGAAGACCUGUCUCUAGCUGUGGUGCUUUAAUAGCCUACUCAAGAAGAUUCCUCCCCACAUCUCAAGUGUAGUAAAUAGUGUGGUAUUGUUUUUGGCUUCCGCAGGAAGUCAGGGUUAUUUCAAUAAAAAUACCAGCUGUGCCCUUAGAU
This is a long non-coding RNA of Mus musculus (house mouse), 1594 nucleotides long. RefSeq annotates it as predicted gene, 38625. The transcript has 4 exons. The record is from RefSeq and is a predicted model, not a curated record. Lineage: Eukaryota; Metazoa; Chordata; Mammalia; Rodentia; Muridae.